Ochotona princeps (American pika) is the source of this 726-nucleotide long non-coding RNA. RefSeq lists it as uncharacterized. The transcript is spliced from 3 exons. The record is from RefSeq and is a predicted model, not a curated record. NCBI's taxonomy places the organism in Eukaryota, Metazoa, Chordata, Mammalia, Lagomorpha, Ochotonidae.
AUGUGGGUGGGACCCAGAGAUGGCCACAUGGCACCAUGUCACUCACGCCCAAGGGGGCAGCACCACGUUCAUGGCAGCCUUGCUGGCUGAGUUUCACACUUUCCUGUAGGCUUCCUUGGAGCAAACAUGCAUGGGCAAGACAUAGCUUGAAAGCACAGCAUGCAAUUCGGCAGGUUGUAAAUGCACCAUGUUCCUCAAAAGUGUGGUCCCUUCACCAACGGCAGCAUCAGAGGAACUCUAGCAAUGUCAAUCAACAGAUGCUGCCCCAGAGCUUCUGAAGCUGGGGCUGCCAGGCUGUGCUUUGCAAUCCUGCAGAAGGCUGCUGGCCACGUGCCCCCUCCCAUCUGCACAUGCUUGUCAACGGGCUCGCCUCUUGGUGGCUUCCAAGUUCAGCCAAGAGCAGAAUGCAUGUGUGCGUGGGCCACUGCUGGCUCCCAGCCAGCCUCCUCCUGAGCUGGGAGCCAGGCAGGCCUGAUGGCAGGCAGGGAAUCCUGGUCUCUCCAUUGCCCAAACUUCCUGUUACCUUUAAGGGGUUUUACUGUGCUUUCGUAUUAGUUUCCUAAUAAAUGGGGCCCAGCUGAAGAGCUGUCCGCAAAACAAUGAGCCCUCAGUGCUGUCAGCCAGGGUGUUUGGGACACCGUUUGUUAAGAAUCCUCCGAGCCCAUUAACCCCUGAACCUGGGAGAUGAUAUCUGCCCUGGAAUGAAUUACCUUCUUUAUUCCCAGA